UACCUAGCAGCAGGAGCACCUCGAUCAACACACAACACAAGGCAGUAUGCGUUCAGCUCGCCACCUCCAGCUCCCGGUCUGGGCCCUCCUUCUGCUCUUGCACUUCUCAGCCUUCGUCCCGGCAGCCAGAGCACAGCAAAAAUCGACGAUGAGUCGGAGUUCAGCUACGACUGUGGGGCGGAGAACGGGCCGGAGAACUGGGGCAAGAUCAAGGAGGAGUGGGCGACGUGCAUAACUGGGCGGAUGCAGUCGCCCAUCGACCUCUCCGACCGCUAUGCCACACAGGCGCCCAACCUAGGGUACCUCAACCACUCCUACCGCUCUGCCAAGGCCUCCAUCGUCAACCGUGGCCACGAUAUCGCGGUGAUGUUCCACGGCGACGCCGGGAGCCUGUGGAUUAAUGGCACCGCCUACCACCUCAGGCAGCUGCACUGGCACACCCCAGCGAGCACCGCUUAA
This 459-nucleotide ribosomal RNA is filed under the name Triticum aestivum (bread wheat). RNAcentral describes it as "partial small subunit ribosomal RNA". The record is from RNAcentral. Lineage: Eukaryota; Viridiplantae; Streptophyta; Magnoliopsida; Poales; Poaceae.